RNAcentral lists this ribosomal RNA (396 nucleotides) under uncultured bacterium. Its description in RNAcentral is "partial 16S ribosomal RNA". It matches the Rfam family "Bacterial small subunit ribosomal RNA", at positions 338 to 732 of the family's 1533-position model. The record is from RNAcentral.
CCUACGGGAGGCAGCAGUGAGGAAUAUUGGUCAAUGGACGAGAGUCUGAACCAUCCAAGUCGCGUGAAGGAUGACUGCCCUAUGGGUUGUAAACUUCUUUUAUAGAGGAAUAAAACGAGGCACGUGUGGCUUUUUGCAUGUACUUUAUGAAUAAAGCACGGCUAACUCCGUGCCAGCAGCCGCGGUAAUACGGGGGAUGCGGGCUUUAUCCGGAUUUAUUGGGUUUAAAGGGUGCGCAGGCGGAUUUUUAAGUCAGCGGUCAAAUCGUGGGGCUCAACCCCAUCCCGCCGUUGAAACUGGCGAUCUAGAGUGGGAGAGAGGUAUGCGGAAUGCGUGGUGUAGCGGUGAAAUGCAUAGAUAUCACGCAGAACCCCGAUUGCGAAGGCAGCAUACCGG